AGAUUGGCCCUUGCCUGGGUUCCGGCCAGCACUUGGGGCUCUAGGUGGUGGCUCUGGCAUGAGUCAAUUGCCAUGGUGGCUCUGGGAGUGGAGCAGAAGCAUCUUGGGUCCUUGGGGCCAGCUCUGCUCGCAAUUAGUGAAGUCAUUGCCUGGGGAUGGGGCCCCACAAGGGACAAGGAAAGGCUGGUCCAGGAGCCAAAAGACAAAACCUUACCUUUCUUUUCUAGAAAAUUGUACAAGCUGGAGAUAAGGACCUCGAUGGGCAGCUAGACUUUGAGGAAUUUGUCCAUUAUCUCCAAGAUCAUGAGAAGAAACUGAGGCUGGUGUUUAAGAGUUUGGACAAAAAGAAUGAUGGACGCAUCGACGCGCAGGAGAUCAUGCAGUCCCUGCGGGACUUGGGAGUCAAGAUAUCUGAACAGCAGGCAGAAAAAAUUCUCAAGAGCAUGGAUAAAAACGGCACGAUGACCAUCGACUGGAACGAGUGGAGAGACUACCACCUCCUCCACCCCGUGGAAAACAUCCCCGAGAUCAUCCUCUACUGGAAGCAUUCCACGAUCUUUGAUGUGGGUGAGAAUCUGACGGUCCCCGAUGAGUUCACAGUGGAGGAGAGGCAGACGGGGAUGUGGUGGAGACACCUGGUGGCAGGAGGUGGGGCAGGGGCCGUAUCCAGAACCUGCACGGCCCCCCUAGACAGGCUCAAGGUGCUCAUGC
RNAcentral lists this small RNA (711 nucleotides) under Pongo abelii (Sumatran orangutan). Its description in RNAcentral is "retained intron". Lineage: Eukaryota; Metazoa; Chordata; Mammalia; Primates; Hominidae. The record is from RNAcentral.